This 437-nucleotide ribosomal RNA is filed under the name Breviceps poweri (Power's rain frog). Its description in RNAcentral is "partial 16S ribosomal RNA". It matches the Rfam family "Bacterial large subunit ribosomal RNA", at positions 1923 to 2529 of the family's 2925-position model. Lineage: Eukaryota; Metazoa; Chordata; Amphibia; Anura; Brevicipitidae. The record is from RNAcentral.
UUAAAUGGCCGCGGUAUCCUAACCGUGCAAAGGUAGCGUAAUCACUUGUCUACUAAUUAUAGACCUGUAUGAACGGCAUCACGAGGGCUAUACUGUCUCCCCCCUUUAAUCAGUGAAACUGAUCUUCCCGUGAAAAAGCGGGAAUAUAACUAUAAGACGAGAAGACCCCAUGGAGCUUUAAACUAAGAGCCAAUUACUAACCCCCCCCACCAAAUAUUGUAACCCUGACUCAAAGUUUUAGGUUGGGGUGACCGCGGAGCACAACAAAACCUCCACAAUGAACGAACAUAAAACUCUUACCCGAGAUCUACACCUCAAAGGACCACUAACGUGACAUCAAUUGACCCAAUCACUUGAUCAACGAACCUAGUUACCCUGGGGAUAACAGCGCAAUCCAUUUCAAGAGCCCUUAUCGACAAAUGGGUUUACGACCUCGA